UCUGUUUCAUGAUAGCCCCAACCUCC
This 26-nucleotide non-coding RNA is filed under the name Homo sapiens (human). Lineage: Eukaryota; Metazoa; Chordata; Mammalia; Primates; Hominidae. The record is from RNAcentral.